Molecule: ribosomal RNA, 251 nt
Filed under: uncultured prokaryote
Description: partial 16S ribosomal RNA
Rfam family: Bacterial small subunit ribosomal RNA
Source: RNAcentral
CCGUAGGCGGCUCUCUUUCUCCUUCUUCCCUGGUCUUCCCUCUCGUUCCUUCUUUUCUUUCCUUUUUUCUUUCCCUCUCCCUUCUCCCCUUUUCUCUUUCUUUCCAUCCUAUCGGACUUGAGAGCGAUAGAGGAAAAUUGAAGUCCCGGUGGAGGGGUGAAAUGCGGAGAUAUCGGGAGGAAAACCAGUGGCGAAAGCGAUUUUCUGGAGCGUUUCUGACGAGAAGACGCGAAAGAGAGGGUAGCAAAAGG